Molecule: ribosomal RNA, 246 nt
Filed under: uncultured bacterium
Lineage: Bacteria
Description: partial small subunit ribosomal RNA
Rfam family: Bacterial small subunit ribosomal RNA
Source: RNAcentral
AGAAUCAACGCUGGCGGCGUGCCUAACACAUGCAAGUCGAACGAGAAAGUGGAGCAAUCCAUGAGUAAAGUGGCGCACGGGUGAGUAACACGUGACUAACCUACCCUUGAGUGGGGAAUAACUGAGGGAAACCUUAGCUAAUACCGCAUAAUACCUACGGGUCAAAGGAGCAAUUCGCUUAAGGAGGGGGUCGCGGCCGAUUAGUUAGUUGGCGGGGGUAAUGGCCCACCAAGACUAUGAUCGGUA